GCCACAGGGCCAGCACCACAGUGGAGAGGCCCAGCAGCUGUGAGGGCUGAGCGCUCCAGAUGCACUGAUAAAGGCAGGGUGACAGCGAGGGCUCAUUAUCAGCAACCUCAGCUAACACACAAUCUUCAAAACAUACUUUCUUCAGUUAUUUUGCAGUGGAAUUUAGCUACAGGUUUUAUUGGUUUCUUUGCUAACCAGUGUUGUUUGUGGCCUAUGGCUUCCUCUUUCUCUUCUUCCUGCUUUUAGCCCUGGUGGUGGAUUUCCAUGUAGCUCUUGCAAAAAGCGUCCCUACAUGACAACUUUGUGAAUCUUUGCACAUGAUACAGGAGAUUGCUCUAAUCCAAUUUUGUGAACUUCCUGCUUGUGAAUUUGACCUCCAUCCAUGCCCAUUCUACUCUUCUUCAGUCAUCUGUUGCAAGUGCCCGGUGUUGCUAAGCCUGUGCUCUACCACUGGACCACAACCCCUCAGCCCAGCUUUUAGCUGCAGCUACAGCUAAGAAUGAUGCAGACAGGGGAAGACAUUUGUGGCUCUUGCUCACAUUCAUCUGUUUCGUCUCACUGCCCUCUCCGGAGCUGUAAGAGAAAGUUCACUUCCCCGAGGACUCUCUUUCCACCUUUAUAAGGUUGUGUAAGCAUCUUAGCUCUGUGUGUUUUGUUAAUGUGCUCUGUAUCUGUAUCAUAAAUCAGUCAUCUUUUAAAAAUAUAAAUCGGUCCUAUUUUGGUGCUCGAGGUAAUAA
Cavia porcellus (domestic guinea pig) is the source of this 737-nucleotide long non-coding RNA. RefSeq lists it as uncharacterized. Lineage: Eukaryota; Metazoa; Chordata; Mammalia; Rodentia; Caviidae. The record is from RefSeq and is a predicted model, not a curated record. The transcript is spliced from 3 exons.